GUAUCUAACACAAUUGUCGCCGGUUGGGGCAAUCUCAGACCCUUUCAGUUUAUAAUUGGUGGCAUUGUGCCGUGUAUAUUCGUCUUCGCGUCAAUUUGUAUUGGCAUUAGAGCCUUUGGCGAAUUUGCUUUCGACGGCUACUUGAAGGUGGAAGAUGAUGACUUCAAGUACACCUAUAAGCCCUAAAAAAAAAACCCAAAGGGCAAUUUGCGUUUGAAAGUU
Molecule: long non-coding RNA, 222 nt
Organism: Drosophila nasuta
Lineage: Eukaryota; Metazoa; Arthropoda; Insecta; Diptera; Drosophilidae
Exons: 2
Source: RefSeq, a predicted model, not a curated record